AUAACGACUCUCAGCAACGGAUAUCUCGGCUCUCGCAUCGAUGAAGAACGUAKCGAAAUGCGAUACUUGGUGUGAAUUGCAGAAUCCCGUGAACCAUCGAAUCUUUGAACGCAA
This 114-nucleotide ribosomal RNA is filed under the name Streptocarpus cf. inconspicuus Watkins CW430/01/03. RNAcentral's name for it is "partial 5.8S ribosomal RNA". It matches the Rfam family "5.8S ribosomal RNA", at positions 1 to 109 of the family's 154-position model. Rfam says of the family: 5.8S ribosomal RNA (5.8S rRNA) is a component of the large subunit of the eukaryotic ribosome. It is transcribed by RNA polymerase I as part of the 45S precursor that also contains 18S and 28S rRNA. Functionally, it is thought that 5.8S rRNA may be involved in ribosome translocation. The record is from RNAcentral. Lineage: Eukaryota; Viridiplantae; Streptophyta; Magnoliopsida; Lamiales; Gesneriaceae.